This 440-nucleotide ribosomal RNA is filed under the name uncultured bacterium. RNAcentral describes it as "partial 16S ribosomal RNA". It matches the Rfam family "Bacterial small subunit ribosomal RNA", at positions 338 to 795 of the family's 1533-position model. The record is from RNAcentral.
CCUACGGGAGGCAGCAGUGGGGGAUAUUGCACAAUGGGGGAAACCCUGAUGCAGCGACGCCGCGUGAGUGAAGCAGUAUUUCGGUAUGUAAAGCUCUAUCAGCAGGGAAGAAAAUGACAGUACCUGAACAAGAAGCCCCGGCUAACUACAUGCCAGCAGGCGCGGUAGUACGUAGGGGGCAAGCGUUAUCCGGCUUUAAUGGGAGUAAAGCGAACGUAGACGGUUGUGUAGGUCUGGAGUGAAAGCGCGGGGCCCAACCCCGGGACUGCUUUGGAAACGGGGUAACUGGAGUACAGGAGGGGCAUGCGGAAUUCCUGGUGUAGCGGUGAAAUGCGUAGAUAUCAGGAGGAACACCGGCGGCGAAGGCGGCCUGCUGGACUGAAACUGACGUUGAGGCUCGAAAGCGUGGGGAGCAAACAGGAUUAGAUACCCGUGUAGUC